RNAcentral lists this unclassified non-coding RNA (363 nucleotides) under uncultured bacterium. RNAcentral's name for it is "contains 16S-23S intergenic spacer region". The record is from RNAcentral.
UCCCCCGUGAGGGGGCAGUCUCGCCUGACAUAAGUAACAGACAACGGGGGUUGCGUUCGUUACCCCACUGAAGGGAACAGCUCAAGCCACGAACUGACGACAACCAUGCAUCACCUGCCAAGCACCCUCGAAGGCUCCCUCCCUUUCGGGAAGGAUGCAGCUUGGUUUCUAGCCCUGGUAAGGCUCUUCGCUUAACGACGAAUUAAGCCACAUGAUCCACCGCUUGUGCGAGUCCCCGUCUAUUCCUUUGAGUUUUAGCCUUGCGGCCGUACUUCCCAGGCGGAGCGCUUAAUGCGUUAGCUACGGCACUGCAGGGGUCAACACCCGCAACACCUAGCGCUCAUCGUUUACAGCGUGGACUAC